RNAcentral lists this small nuclear RNA (149 nucleotides) under Carlito syrichta (Philippine tarsier). Its description in RNAcentral is "U12 minor spliceosomal RNA (ENSTSYG00000028951.1)". It matches the Rfam family "U12 minor spliceosomal RNA". Rfam says of the family: Although the U12 sequence is very divergent from that of U2, the two are functionally analogous. The record is from Rfam by way of RNAcentral. Lineage: Eukaryota; Metazoa; Chordata; Mammalia; Primates; Tarsiidae.
AUGACUUAAACUUAUGAGUAAGGAAAAUAACAAUUCAGGGGGACGCCCGGAUCCUCACUGCUAAUAUGAGACAAAUUUUUCAUUGGGUAAAGGUUGCCCUCAGGUGACCCACCUACUUUGCGGGAUGCCUGGGAGUCGAAAUCUACCCG